UACAUGACAUGCACAGAUUGUGUGCACGGGUACAGAUCUAACUUUUUUUAGUGCUUAUGUUCAGAUUUAAUGUGCUAACUGCAGAAGUAGUUUUAAGACUGCAGUGGCCACUACAAAUAAGCCCUCUGACUGGCUUUCCAACGGUGGGAAAUGGUGACACCAUAUCAAGCACAUUACCAAAGUCAGGGAUUGCCUUAGUGGACACAUAAAAGGAUCACACCCCCACCUACAGGUGAUGAGCUCAUCUCUGUGAUUGCCUUAGUCACCCAACAACACGUCUGAGAAGCCGGCAGAGGCACAGCGGAGAGGAAGACCUGAACUGAACACAGUGGAACAAAGCACAGCGUAAACGUUGGUGAUGUCAUCACAGAGUCAAGCUGAGCACGACGGGCCGUGAUGACAACAACAACAACCUCCGUCCUCCAACCCAUGAUGACUCAUUCCAGUGUUUCACCAAGAGAAUGGACAGCCAUUAUACACAUUGUACAGCUCAGGAAUGGAAGUGGAAGCAUGAUUAUGUGCAGUCAGGAAAUGCUGGACGUUCCUGAUGAAGGUGAAAAACAAAAACGUGUUGGAACCCACCACAGGUCUGCUAUCACGGCCCCUUAAAAUGACAGUCGUUUAUCGUGGAAUAAAUAAGUGUAAGCUCAAACCAUAUGAACAUACAUACAGGACCAGUAAAUUGAAUCUUUGUUUUAUAUGCUGGUUACAGUAUUUCUGUUUCCUAUUUC
Long non-coding RNA from Seriola dumerili (greater amberjack), 731 nucleotides. RefSeq lists it as uncharacterized. NCBI's taxonomy places the organism in Eukaryota, Metazoa, Chordata, Actinopteri, Carangiformes, Carangidae. The transcript has 3 exons. The record is from RefSeq and is a predicted model, not a curated record.